Molecule: long non-coding RNA, 2276 nt
Organism: Piliocolobus tephrosceles (Ugandan red Colobus)
Lineage: Eukaryota; Metazoa; Chordata; Mammalia; Primates; Cercopithecidae
Exons: 4
Source: RefSeq, a predicted model, not a curated record
CUGAAGCAGGAGAAUGGCGUGAACCUGGGAGGCAGAGCUUGCAGUGAGCCAAGAUCGCGCCACUGCACUCCAGCCUGGGCUACAGAGCGAGACUCCGUCUCAAAAACAAAAAAAGGGAUGGAGUGCCGAAUGCAAAAUCAACGUGGACAUGGUAGAUACUGAGGCUCCCACCUGAAAACCUGUAUGACGGUGAUGGCUACCUCUGGUAAGUCAGGUCAAAUGAGGCCAUCAGGGUGGCCUGGAUCCAAUCUGACUAAUCUGACUAAUGUCCUUACAAGAAGAAGAGGUGAGGACACAGAGACACAUGUGAGGACACAGGGAGAAUGAGCCAAGGACAGAAGCCUCAGAGGAAACGCACUCUGCCCACACCUGCAUCUUGAACUUCAGCCUCCAGCCUCAUAGGCAGCCUCUCUGAGAGCCACUUCCAGUCCUGUUGUCAGCAGUGGAAGGUAGUGCUAGGCAUAAAGGCCAGAUGAAGGCAACGACCCUUAAAUUUGACUGGCAGAGUGAAUUAUACAUGUCAUGCGGUAGGCCUCCUUCUAAUCUAUCAUUUCAAAUUUGUCAGCUUAAAUAGGCAACGGAUAUUGAGGAAGUGAACUAUGCAAUGUCCUAAAUUGUAAAGAUAAUUUUUAAAAGUCAAUGUGUGCUAAAUAAGUAACCUCAAAGAUGGUUUUGUGAGAUCUUAACUUGAAAUAAUUUAUUUUAUCAUGCACCUCAUUUCCAGUAGUUUGGUAGUUCUGGCAACCCCAGUUGUGCUCAGCAGGUAGCCUUAGGAAUGAAACAGUUUGAAAGAGAGACAACCUCAUAGAGAGAUGGCUCUCAGUCCUCCUGAAAGUUCCUUGCAAUAACAUCCUUGCAGUUACACUGUUGGUCAAAUAAUGUCCCUAACCUAUAUUUAGAGAAUAUUAAAGAUAAGGCACUAUCUUUAUUAUUUAUUACAACAGAGGAACCUAUGUGCUUUGCAAGACCAAUUAAAGAAGAUUUUAACGCAUACAUUUAAAGCUCUGUUUUGUGAUGUCUUUAUUGAGAUUUCCACUCAUAAAGAAAGACAGAUGAGGAGUUGAAAAUAUACAGAAAGGCAAGAGUAUUGCCCCCACUCUAACAAGUAGAAACUAGAUAUACCAUAGAAUUAUAACUUCUCCUGAGCUCAGCAAACACCUGAGGUCAUAGGGUAACCAAAUAGUUCCAAAUCCAAAAAAAGACAAUUCCUUCCAAGGGUAGAAAGGAUUUGAGCGUUUGUCUACCAGUGGUGAAUGGGAGAAACAGAACCCCAGCUACCAUACAAGUAGGUAAGAAGAUAAACCUUCAAGACAGAUUUCUAGAAACCAAGAAUGAGCUAGCACGAGAGAAAGCCACAUCCAGGUUCUCUCUACAGCCUUCCACCAGAUUCUCGUGAGAGAGAUUUCAGGGCUGCAGCUGGAGGAUUAGAAAGAGCCUCACGGUGGUGCAGACGUGGACUGGGAAAGCGCUGUCACUGCGGGAUACUCGUGAGUCCCACCCAGACCCUCUCUUCUGUGGAACUAAAGCUCUAAUUUACUUUGAGGAGCAGGAAACAGUCAGUCAGUCCCAGGGCACAGGCGAACGAACAUGCAUAUGUCUGAGGAAGAAUUUUUUCAAGAAACCCUCUAACCUUUGGGGAAGAGAAGAAAACAAUCCUGGUCCCAGAGCCCUACUGGGCCUCCUACUACUGGGGGAGGGUAGAAAACACCAAACAUCUAGGGUUACCAGAUUUCGCAAAUAAAAAUACGUGAAAUUUGAAUUUCGUAGAACAAUAAAUAAUUUUUACUAUAAGUAUAUUCCAAUAUUUGGGACAUAGUGAUGUUAACAAACUUCAUUGUUUACAUGAAAUUUAAAUUUAAGUGGGAAUCCUGUAUUUUACCUGACAACCCUAGGCACACAAGCCCUGCCAAAGAUAUGCAGGAGAAUUCAGCUCCAAGGGAAGGAGUGGAAACCCCAACCCUGAAGUCCCAGACACACAGGGCCUGCCUGAAGCUGAGGCUGGACCAGGACGACACAGAAUUCUCCUGCUUCCCACCACAAGGAUUGUUCGUAGCAGGUAAAUAACUAGAAGUUCAAUGCCUGGAUCAUGUAGCAGGAACCCUUAGAUGUCUUUUCUACUAAGGACAGAUUUGGAAACAAAAUACAGGACCAGCUGCAUUGUCUUGCAUUAGAAAAUUCUCUGCUACCUGGUUAAAACAAAACAAAGAUGUGAGUUUGGGGUUUAUUUUUGACCAUUAAAGAGCAGUCAGUUUGUGGUUGUCAUGCUUCCUGCAAUG